This 305-nucleotide ribosomal RNA is filed under the name uncultured bacterium. Its description in RNAcentral is "bacterial SSU rRNA". It matches the Rfam family "Bacterial small subunit ribosomal RNA", at positions 335 to 632 of the family's 1533-position model. The record is from RNAcentral.
UUCCCUACGGGGCGCAGCAGUAGGGAAUUUUCGUCAAUGGGCGCAAGCCUGAACGAGCAAUGCCGCGUGAACGAGGAAGGUCUUCGGAUCGUAAAGUUCUGUUGAAGGGGAAAAAGAGCGGAGAGAGGAAAUGGUCUCCGACUGAUAUUACCCUUCGAGGAAGUCACGGCUAACUACGUGCCAGCAGCCGCGGUAAUACGUAGGGGGCAAGCGUUAUCCGGAUUUACUGGGUGUAAAGGGAGCGUAGACGGUGCGCCAAGUCUGGAGUGAAAUGCCGCAGCUUAACUGCGGAACUGCUUUGGAAA